GACGAACGCUGGCGGCGUGCUUAACAUAUGCAAGUCGAACGGAAAGGCCCCUUUGGGGGUACUCGAGUGGCGAACGGGUGAGUAACACGUGAGUAACCUGCCCUUGACUUCGGGAUAACUUCAGGAAACUGGGGCUAAUACCGGAUAGGAAUCCUUGCUGCAUGGUGGGGGUUGGAAAGCUUCGGCGGUUUUGGAUGGACUCGCGGCUUAUCAGCUUGUUGGUGGGGUAGUGGCUUACCAAGGCUUUGACGGGUAGCCGGCCUGAGAGGGCGACCGGCCACAUUGGGACUGAGAUACGGCCCAGACUCCUACGGGAGGCAGCAGGGGGGAAUAUUGCACAAUGGGCGGAAGCCUGAUGCAGCAACGCCGCGUGCGGGAUGACGGCCUUCGGGUUGUAAACCGCUUUCAGCAGGGGCGAAGCUUGUGGUGACGGUACCUGCAGAAGAAGCACCGGCUAACUACGUG
RNAcentral lists this ribosomal RNA (465 nucleotides) under uncultured bacterium. Its description in RNAcentral is "partial 16S ribosomal RNA". It matches the Rfam family "Bacterial small subunit ribosomal RNA", at positions 28 to 507 of the family's 1533-position model. The record is from RNAcentral.